ACCGAACUGGUAAACGUUGAAAAGUUUUCAGAUGAACUGUGGGUAGGGGUGAAAGGCCAAUCAAACUGGGAAAUAGCUCGUACUCCCCGAAAUGCAUUUAGGUGCAGCGUUCAGGUAGAGUCUUAUAGAGGUAGAGCUACUGAUUGGGCUAGGGGGCUUCACCGCCUACCAAACCCUGACAAACUCCGAAUGCUAUAAGAUAUACUGAGCAGUGAGGGCAUGGGUGCUAAGGUCCAUGUCCGAGAGGGAAAGAACCCAGACCAUCGGCUAAGGUCCCCAAAUAUACACUAAGUUGAUCAAACGUUGUGCGGUUGCAUAGACAGCUAGGAUGUUGGCUUGGAAGCAGCCAUUCAUUUAAAGAGUGCGUAACAGCUCACUAGUCGAGCGAUCGUGCGUGGAUAAUAAUCGG
This 409-nucleotide ribosomal RNA is filed under the name Alexandrium margalefii. RNAcentral's name for it is "partial Bacterial large subunit ribosomal RNA". It matches the Rfam family "Bacterial large subunit ribosomal RNA", at positions 773 to 1178 of the family's 2925-position model. The record is from RNAcentral. Lineage: Eukaryota; Dinophyceae; Gonyaulacales; Pyrocystaceae.